UGGGGAAUAUUGCACAAUGGAGGAAACUCUGAUGCAGCAACGCCGCGUGAAGGAAGAAGGUUUUCGGAUCGUAAACUUCUAUCAAUAGGGACGAAACAAAUGACGGUACCUAAAUAAGAAGCCCCGGCUAACUACGUGCCAGCAGCCGCGGUAAUACGUAGGGGGCAAGCGUUAUCCGGAAUUACUGGGUGUAAAGGGAGCGUAGGCGGCAUGGUAAGCCAGAUGUGAAAGCCCGAAGCUUAACUUCGAGGAUUGCAUUUGGAACUAUCAAGCUAGAGUACAGGAGAGGAAAGCGGAAUUCCUAGUGUAGCGGUGAAAUGCGUAGAUAUUAGGAAGAACACCAGUGGCGAAGGCGGCUUUCUGGACUGAAACUGACGCUGAGGCUCGAAAGCGUGGGGAGCAAACAGGAUUAGAUACCCUGGUAGU
Molecule: ribosomal RNA, 426 nt
Filed under: uncultured Clostridium sp.
Lineage: Bacteria; Bacillati; Bacillota; Clostridia; Eubacteriales; Clostridiaceae
Description: bacterial SSU rRNA
Rfam family: Bacterial small subunit ribosomal RNA
Source: RNAcentral